CUUCAACUUAGUACUUGGUGGCAAAACCCUUGUUGGCAAUCACAGAGGUCAGAUGUUUUUUGUAGUUGGCCACCAGGUUUGCACACAUCUCAGGAGGGAUUUUGUCCCACUCCUUUUUGUAGAUCCUCUCCAAAUCAUUAAGGUUUCAAGGCUGACUUUUGACAACUCGAACCUUCAGCUCCCUCCACAGAUGUUCUAUGGGAUUAAGGUCUGAAGACUGGCUAGGCCACUCCAGGCCCUUAAUGUGCUUCUUCUUGAGCAACUCCUUUGUUGCCUUGGCUGUGUAUUUUGGGUCAUUGUCAUGCUGGAAUAUCCAUCCACGACCCAUUUUUAAUGCCUUGGCUGAGGGAAGGAGGUUCUCAUCCAAGAUUUGACGGUUUACGGCCCCGUCCAUCGUCCCUUUGAUGCGGUGCAGUUGUCUUGUCCCCUUAGCAGAAAAACACCCCCAAAGCAUAAUGUUUCCACCUUCAUGUUUGAAGGUGUGGAUUGUGUUCUUGGGGUCAUAGGCAGCAUUCCUCCUGGUCCAAACACAGUGAGUUGAGGCCAAAGAGCUUGAUUUUGGACUCAUCUGACCACAAAACUUUCACCCAGUUCUUCACUGAAUCAUUCAGAUGUUCAUUGGCAAACUUCAGAUGGGCCUGUACAUGUGCUUUCUUGAGCAGAGGGACCUUGCGGGCGCUGCAGGAUUUAAGUCCUUCACGGGGUAGUGUGUUACCAAUUGUUUUCUUG
Pelobates cultripes (western spadefoot toad) is the source of this 729-nucleotide non-coding RNA. The record is from the annotation of a GenBank genome assembly. NCBI's taxonomy places the organism in Eukaryota, Metazoa, Chordata, Amphibia, Anura, Pelobatidae.